RNAcentral lists this ribosomal RNA (206 nucleotides) under uncultured bacterium. RNAcentral describes it as "partial 16S ribosomal RNA". It matches the Rfam family "Bacterial small subunit ribosomal RNA", at positions 568 to 774 of the family's 1533-position model. The record is from RNAcentral.
UGCGUAGGUGGUCUUGUAAGUCAGAAGUGAAAGGCUAUGGCUCAACCAUAGUAAGCUUUUGAAACUGCAGGACUUGAGUGCAGGAGAGGAAAGUGGAAUUCCUAGUGUAGCGGUGAAAUGCGUAGAUAUUAGGAGGAACACCAGUGGCGAAGGCGACUUUCUGGACUGUAACUGACACUGAGGCACGAAAGCGUGGGGAGCGAACA